Molecule: ribosomal RNA, 496 nt
Filed under: Pseudo-nitzschia fraudulenta
Lineage: Eukaryota; Bacillariophyta; Bacillariophyceae; Bacillariales; Bacillariaceae
Description: partial Bacterial large subunit ribosomal RNA
Rfam family: Bacterial large subunit ribosomal RNA
Source: RNAcentral
CGUUGGUGAGCUGACAAAAAGCGUUAUAACCAACGAUGUCCGAAUGGGGAAACCCGGCACUUCGGUGUCAUCUGCAACUGAAUACAUAGGUUGCAGAAGCGAACGAGGGGAACUGAAACAUCUAAGUACCCUUAGGAAGAGAAAUCAAUUGAGAUUGCCUUAGUAGCGGCGAGCGAACGGGUAACAGCCGAUGGUUUAUGUUGUAGUGGAACGGUCUGGAAAGUCCGGCGAUACAGGGUGAUAGCCCCGUACACGAAGCAUGAUAUAUCACAUAUUAAGUAGGACGGGACACGUGUUAUCUUGUCUGAAGAUGGGGGGACCAUCCUCCAAGGCUAAAUACUCCUGGCUGACCGAUAGUGAACCAGUACCGUGAGGGAAAGGCGAAAAGAACCCCGGAGAGGGGAGUGAAAUAGAACCUGAAACCGUGUACGUACAAGCAGUCGGAGCCCUCUUUGUGGGGUGACGGCGUACCUUUUGUAUAAUGGGUCAGCGACUU